RNAcentral lists this ribosomal RNA (499 nucleotides) under uncultured bacterium. RNAcentral's name for it is "bacterial SSU rRNA". It matches the Rfam family "Bacterial small subunit ribosomal RNA", at positions 10 to 507 of the family's 1533-position model. The record is from RNAcentral.
AGUUUGAUCAUGGCUCAGAUUGAACGCUGGCGGUAUGCUUAACACAUGCAAGUCGAACGGUAACAGGCCUUCGGGCGCUGACGAGUGGUGGACGGGUGAGUAACGCGUAGGAAUCUGCCUCAUAGUGGGGGACAACGUGGGGAAACUCACGCUAAUACCGCAUACGCCCUACGGGGGAAAGCGGGGGAUCUUCGGACCUCGCGCUAUGAGAUGAGCCUGCGUUAGAUUAGCUAGUUGGUAGGGUAAAGGCCUACCAAGGCGACGAUCUAUAGCUGGUCUGAGAGGACGAUCAGCCACACUGGGACUGAGACACGGCCCAGACUCCUACGGGAGGCAGCAGUGGGGAAUAUUGGACAAUGGGCGCAAGCCUGAUCCAGCAAUACCGCGUGUGUGAAGAAGGCCUUAGGGUUGUAAAGCACUUUCAAUUGGGAGGAAAACCUGCCGGUCAAUACCCGGUAGCUUGACAUUACCUUUAGAAGAAGCACCGGCUAACUCCGUG